Molecule: ribosomal RNA, 497 nt
Filed under: uncultured bacterium
Lineage: Bacteria
Description: partial 16S ribosomal RNA
Rfam family: Bacterial small subunit ribosomal RNA
Source: RNAcentral
GAUGAACGCUGGCGGCGUGCCUAAUACAUGCAAGUCGAGCGAACGGACGAGAAGCUUGCUUCUCUGAUGUUAGCGGCGGACGGGUGAGUAACACGUGGAUAACCUACCUAUAAGACUGGGAUAACUUCGGGAAACCGGAGCUAAUACCGGAUGAUAUUUUGAACCGCAUGGAUCAAAAGUGAAAGACGGUCUUGCUGUCACUUAUAGAUGGAUCCGCGCUGCAUUAGCUAGUUGGUAAGGUAACGGCUUACCAAGGCAACGAUGCAUAGCCGACCUGAGAGGGUGAUCGGCCACACUGAAACUGAGACACGGUCCAGACUCCUACGGGAGGCAGCAGUAGGGAAUCUUCCGCAAUGGGCGAAAGCCUGACGGAGCAACGCCGCGUGAGUGAUGAAGGUCUUCGGAUCGUAAAACUCUGUUAUUAGGGAAGAACAUAUGUGUAAGUAACUGUGCGCAUCUUGACGGUACCUAAUCAGAAAGCCACGGCUAACUACGUG